UGCCCCCAACGAAGCCACGGACACCACAG
RNAcentral lists this non-coding RNA (29 nucleotides) under Mus musculus (house mouse). Lineage: Eukaryota; Metazoa; Chordata; Mammalia; Rodentia; Muridae. The record is from RNAcentral.